RNAcentral lists this ribosomal RNA (253 nucleotides) under uncultured bacterium. RNAcentral describes it as "partial 16S ribosomal RNA". It matches the Rfam family "Bacterial small subunit ribosomal RNA", at positions 524 to 776 of the family's 1533-position model. The record is from RNAcentral.
UACGUAGGGUGCAAGCGUUGUCCGGAAUUAUUGGGCGUAAAGAGCUCGUAGGUGGCCUGUCGCGUCGGCUGUGAAAACUCGAGGCUCAACCUCGAGACGUCGGUUGAAACCGUUUGGCUAGAGUCCGGAAGAGGAGAGUGGAAUUCCCGGUGUAGCGGUGAAAUGCGCAGAUAUCGGGAAGAACACCCGUGGCGAAGGCGGCUCUCUGGGACGGUACUGACGCUGAGACGCGAAAGCGUGGGGAGCGAACAGG